RNAcentral lists this ribosomal RNA (468 nucleotides) under uncultured bacterium. Its description in RNAcentral is "partial 16S ribosomal RNA". It matches the Rfam family "Bacterial small subunit ribosomal RNA", at positions 28 to 507 of the family's 1533-position model. The record is from RNAcentral.
GACGAACGCUGGCGGUGUGCUUAACACAUGCAAGUCGAACGGAAAGGCCCUGCUUUUGUGGGGUGCUCGAGUGGCGAACGGGUGAGUAACACGUGAGUAACCUGCCCUUGACUUUGGGAUAACUUCAGGAAACUGGGGCUAAUACCGGAUAGGAGCUCCUGCUGCAUGGUGGGGGUUGGAAAGUUUCGGCGGUUGGGGAUGGACUCGCGGCUUAUCAGCUUGUUGGUGGGGUAGUGGCUUACCAAGGCUUUGACGGGUAGCCGGCCUGAGAGGGUGACCGGCCACAUUGGGACUGAGAUACGGCCCAGACUCCUACGGGAGGCAGCAGUGGGGAACAUUGCACAAUGGGCGGAAGCCUGAUGCAGCAACGCCGCGUGCGGGAUGACGGCCUUCGGGUUGUAAACCGCUUUCGCCUGUGACGAAGCGUGAGUGACGGUAAUGGGUAAAGAAGCACCGGCUAACUACGUG